CAGUCGCCGGGUAAUACGAAGGGGGCUAGCGUUGCUCGGAAUGACUGGGCGUAAAGGGCGCGUAGGCGGAUUGUUUAGUUAGGCGUGAAAUUCCUGGGCUUAACCUGGGGACUGCGCUUAAUACAGGCAGUCUAGAGUGAGGAAGAGGGUUGUGGAAUUCCCAGUGUAGAGGUGAAAUUCGUAGAUAUUGGGAAGAACACCGGUGGCGAAGGCGGCAACCUGGUCCUUGACUGACGCUGAGGCGCGAAAGCGUGGGGAGCAAACAGGAUUAGAGACCCCGGUAGUCCCUGUCUCUUAUACA
This 301-nucleotide ribosomal RNA is filed under the name uncultured bacterium. RNAcentral's name for it is "partial 16S ribosomal RNA". It matches the Rfam family "Bacterial small subunit ribosomal RNA", at positions 512 to 808 of the family's 1533-position model. The record is from RNAcentral.